GAUGAACGCUGGCGGCGUGCCUAAUACAUGCAAGUCGAGCGAACGGACGAGAAGCUUGCUUCUCUGAUGUUAGCGGCGGCCGGGUGAGUAACACGUGGAUAACCUCCCUAUAAGACUGGGAUAACUUCGGGAAACCGUAGCUAAUACCGGAUAAUAUUUUGAACCGCAUGGUUCAAAAGUGAAAGACGGUCUUGCUGUCACUUAUAGAUGGAUCCGCGCUGCAUUAGCUAGUUGGUAAGGUAACGGCUUACCAAGGCAACGAUGCAUAGCCGACCUGAGAGGGUGAUCGGCCACACUGGAACUGAGACACGGUCCAGACUCCUACGGGAGGCAGCAGUAGGGAAUCUUCCGCAAUGGGCGAAAGCCUGACGGAGCAGCGCCGCGUGAGUGAUGAAGGUCUUCGGAUCGUAAAACUCUGUUAUUAGGGAAGAACAUAUGUGUAAGUAACUGUGCACAUCUUGACGGUACCUAAUCAGAAAGCCACGGCUAACUACGUG
Molecule: ribosomal RNA, 497 nt
Filed under: uncultured bacterium
Lineage: Bacteria
Description: partial 16S ribosomal RNA
Rfam family: Bacterial small subunit ribosomal RNA
Source: RNAcentral